RNAcentral lists this ribosomal RNA (253 nucleotides) under uncultured bacterium. Its description in RNAcentral is "partial 16S ribosomal RNA". It matches the Rfam family "Bacterial small subunit ribosomal RNA", at positions 524 to 776 of the family's 1533-position model. The record is from RNAcentral.
UACAGAGGUCGCAACCGUUGUUCGGAUUCAUUGGGCGUAAAGGGUGCGUAGGCGGUCGUGCAAGUCGGAUGUGAAAUCUCAGGGCUCAACCCUGAAACUGCAUUCGAUACUGCGCGGCUAGAGUGCUGGAGGGGAGACUGGAAUUUACGGUGUAGCAGUGAAAUGCGUAGAUAUCGUAAGGAAGACCAGUGGCGAAGGCGAGUCUCUGGACAGCAACUGACGCUGAGGCACGAAGGCCAGGGGAGCAAACGGG